This 771-nucleotide ribosomal RNA is filed under the name uncultured bacterium. RNAcentral's name for it is "bacterial SSU rRNA". It matches the Rfam family "Bacterial small subunit ribosomal RNA", at positions 8 to 796 of the family's 1533-position model. The record is from RNAcentral.
AGAGUUUGAUCCUGGCUCAGGACGAACGCUGGCGGCGUGCUUAACACAUGCAAGUCGAGCGGAAAGGCCCUUCGGGGUACUCGAGCGGCGAACGGGUGAGUAACACGUGAGUAACCUGCCCUUGGCUCUGGGAUAGCUCCGGGAAACCGGAAUUAAUACCGGAUAUGACCUUGGAAGACAUCUUCUGGGGUGGAAAGAUUUUUCGGCCAGGGAUGGGCUCGCGGCCUAUCAGCUUGUUGGUGGGGUAACGGCCUACCAAGGCGACGACGGGUAGCCGGCCUGAGAGGGCGACCGGCCACACUGGGACUGAGACACGGCCCAGACUCCUACGGGAGGCAGCAGUGGGGAAUAUUGCGCAAUGGGCGGAAGCCUGACGCAGCGACGCCGCGUGGGGGAUGAAGGCCUUCGGGUUGUAAACCCCUUUCGGCAGGGACGAAGCGGAAGUGACGGUACCUGCAGAAGAAGCGCCGGCUAACUACGUGCCAGCAGCCGCGGUAACACGUAGGGCGCAAGCGUUGUCCGGAAUCAUUGGGCGUAAAGAGCUCGUAGGCGGUUUGUCGCGUCUGCUGUGAAAACUGGGGGCUUAACCCCCAGCUGGCAGUGGAUACGGGCAGACUAGAGGUAGGUAGGGGAGAAUGGAAUUCCCGGUGUAGCGGUGAAAUGCGCAGAUAUCGGGAGGAACACCGGUGGCGAAGGCGGUUCUCUGGGCCUUACCUGACGCUGAGGAGCGAAAGCGUGGGGAGCGAACAGGAUUAGAUACCCUAGUAGUCC